Molecule: small RNA, 3201 nt
Filed under: Saccharomyces cerevisiae YJM969
Lineage: Eukaryota; Fungi; Ascomycota; Saccharomycetes; Saccharomycetales; Saccharomycetaceae
Also listed under: 5 other names
Description: ICR1
Source: RNAcentral
UCGAAAGACAUUCAUUCAAGAGAUCCUAACGUGAUUAUCGUAAAUAGCUGGAAUUGUAGAUAUUUACAAUGACAUAGAUCAUUUUUCUUCGACGUAAUUACGGCCUAAUGUCGAGACAAGAAUAAUAUGACGCUGAUCUGUGUUUUGACAAGAAUAUGAAUGAUCUUAAGAAAAGGCUUCGCUGAAUCAAUUGGAAGACAGCGUCUUCAAUUGUCCUACUAAAUUCUUUACGGAUGACAUCUGGGUCUGGGGAGAUCAUGCAAAAAAAUAAGACAUCAUUUAUAACUUUCAACCUUCCGCUCACAGGACAAAUUCUCGAAGACGCUACGAAAAGAUGCUGAGCUUGAUCAUAAUUCUUCAGGCUCCCAAUUCAAGAAUACAAUUACUUAGCGUGGGUGCUUCUGCUCAGUCUUCGUUUCCUAUCUCCACAUACGAAUCACUCGCUUGUUACUAAUUCGAAUAAUUUACUGCUGUAAGGAGUCGUACCGCCAACUAAAUCUGAAUAACAAUUUGGCUGCUAGAAGUCAAAAAGUAGGCGCUGCAAUGAUUAUGUGGUAUGAUCAGAUUGUGUCGCAACAUUCAGCGGGGUUUUGACUCAAUGGGACCGCUGCUAAUAAAGUGUUUAACUAGCGAAUUUUGGAACACACCCGUUGACAAAAGUAUAAGGAGUCUCUUUCCGUGAGUUCCCCUCUUCCUCUCACUGCACUUCAACUAUGCCUUAUAGCAACCAAGAAGCUAGAAAAUGCCAACUAUUAAAAAGAUAACCUCUUUGGAAUCAAAUAAAACGGAGAUUAUCUUGGGAUCUAUUUCACAAAUUUACGGCUAAUUGGAAUGAACAGCGCCAAGUAGCACUGGACAAACUGCAGAGAGUAUUAGAACUUGCUUUAUUCCGUAUAUCGUACUUUAGGUCGUCAGUUUUACCACUUCGGUACGCAAAUGAAAAUAAAAAGCUCAUUCACAACUUAGACACAAUUUCGCCGUUUACAAGUAGCUGAAAAGUCCAUCUAUCGAAUUAUGAAUGAUACUAUUUUAAAUAUCGUCGUUACUGCACUCGUUUUCCACGUUCUUUUUAUCCACACAUCCGAUGUUUUAUUUACAGUUGAGCAUCUCAGGGCCAGCGACAAAUAUAAACAUAUUAUACUCAAAAUGAAGCUCGUUGAAAAGAGAAUAUUUCUUAACCUCUUUUACAGUGCUUUCAACACCUUUUCACCUGUGUGCCAUGUCAGAUUAAGGAUGCUCAACUUUUCGAAUUAUUAUUACAAAUUUCAAAGAAAUUACUAGUCCUUUUUGUCCCCUAAUGUAUCCCUCAUUUCAUACCGUCGUUUUGGGGUUCCAACUACGUAUAGCUUUCAAGUGUGGUUUUACGGUAAGAACAACCCCCCAUCGGUUGGUGCGGAAUACUUUCCUAUUCUCAUCGAGAGCCGAGCCAUACAUCUAAGGUGGACAGAAAGCUAAAAUUCCAAAACAGAAAAAUCUAACAUCUUUGCUCCCUUACAAGUAGGAACGCUGGCGUAUCAACCCGUCUCCAGAUUUGCCCAGCAUUUCUGUAGAACACCCAAUGCGAAUGAAGACUAAUGAAUAUUGUAAAGACAAAAAAUAGGAAAAGUUUAAUUAGUGAUGGUUCUCACCACCCCAAAACGGUCACUUGCAUGCAUUGAGGACAUGCACCUGCAGUACUUGUUUUUCUCGAAUGUUUUUACCAUCUCUUUUUUCCUUAUCUGAGCUACUGACGCAGACGGACAUUGUUUCAUAUUUCGAAAGCUGUGCGGGAAAACGGAUCCUAACACGAAUGUGAAUGCGCUAAUCAAUAUUUCCACCACAUGAAACCUGCUACUUUUUCAGUCCUCUUCGUAUGCAUUUCCCAAAAUUCAUUCGUAGCCUUGUCAACUUAGACUCAGUUCCACGGCGUGCAGGACGGGGUAUUAUGAAUAAAAGGAUCCACGGGUGAGAUUUGUUCUGUGUUUUAGGUAUGGAGUUUUGUACCACAAAACUUUAGGAAUACCGGAUUUUGUGCCUACGCCAGCCCCAGAGUAUGUUCUCACAGCUGUAAUUCCUAGUGAUCUUUUCCUGGCUCCAAUAGGAACGCCGGUAGGCAAAUUAAACUUUCGCGGCAGGAAAAAAAAGGCUUUUUCUUUUUUGCCUUUCAGUUUCUCGGAAUGUGGCAUUACAUAAGCAUAAUCCUUUUUGGGUGUGCCUGGAAAGUUCAAAUUAAGGUUUUUUUCUUCUGUUUUCUUGACAAGAAAAUGUCGCCCAAAGAGUUUCGGCCGUUAUUUUUCCUAUCGAAGUGGGUCCUUUUUGUCUUUAGUCCUUCUCUGGGGCUAGCGAUCACUGCAAAAUUAGGCUUCACUGGUACGAGUUAACUUUUUUUCUUUUUUUUUGUCAUCCUUUUCUUUGGGGCUAAGAACGGACUUCCCUUUUCUUUUUCUUUGUUGCAGCAGUGGCUUCAAAGAACUGCUGAUUGCUCAAGGCAAUCAGUCCGAGCGUUUAGAAGGUGAUUGUAGGCAGAAAUUAACUUUGCGGUAAAAGAAUGACAUUCUUUCUUAAAAGAAAAAUUAGCUUUUUUUUGUCAGGCAUUGCACAAACUUUUUUAUUUCUGCCUAUACUCUUAAACAGAUCAGUCAUUCAUGUUGUCUUUUUAACGGUCGUACUGGGACAUCGCAUGCCUUGGGAUUCCGUAAUUAGGUGCAACAAUACGGGCACAACUCAUUCUGCGCUAUCUUCACGGACUGAACUUCUAUUGCCUAUCGGUGGUGUGAUUAACAAUUGGAAGCGCAGAGCUUGGAAUGGAUUUCCAAUUCAAUGGAUUUGGAGGUAUUCGUUUGUUUACUAAUAUUUACUUUGAGGACAUUGCCCAACCCUAAAAGUGCCUGUUCCAGAAUAGAAUAACAUUAUGAUACGUUUUCUUGACCGCUGAGCAAUUUAAAGCAAUUAUUAGGGUACGAUUGUUUCUAGAGAAAUGUGGGUCAUCUUUUUAGGUCCAUUCUCUUCUGAUGAGGUAACCUUUACAAAAAUGUCAUAGAGUUACCAAUUGGGAUUCAAGGCAUCAUCGCAAUAUACUUCGUUCUCUUACGGAGAAAUUAAGCUCUUUCUACUUUGAAUUAACUGUUAGACUUGUCUUAUCUGAGGAAUGUCCGUGUUCAAAUUAAAUAAAAAUUUAGGGCAGUUUUAUUUACCUUAACAAAUAUGUUCAAGCAUGUACGU